RNAcentral lists this ribosomal RNA (256 nucleotides) under uncultured bacterium. Its description in RNAcentral is "partial 16S ribosomal RNA". It matches the Rfam family "Bacterial small subunit ribosomal RNA", at positions 28 to 279 of the family's 1533-position model. The record is from RNAcentral.
GACGAACGCUGGCGGCGUGCUUAACACAUGCAAGUCGAGCGGUAAGGCCCUUUCGGGGUACGACGAGCGGCGAACGGGUGAGUAACACGUGGGUGACCUGCCUUUAGUCUCUGGGAGUAAGCCUGGGAAACGUAGGGUCGUAAUAACCGGAUAUGACCCUAUGGCGCAUGUUGUGGGGUGGAAAGCCUUGUGCGGCUAGGGAUGGGCCCGCGGCCUAUCAGCUUGUUGGUGGGGUGAUGGCCUACCAAGGCGACGA